This 72-nucleotide small nucleolar RNA is filed under the name Natronomonas moolapensis 8.8.11. The record is from RNAcentral. Lineage: Archaea; Methanobacteriati; Methanobacteriota; Halobacteria; Halobacteriales; Natronomonadaceae.
GGCCGAUGACGAGUACUCUAUCCGAGCCGGUGUAGGCAGCCGGCGAUGACGAGCCCUAUGAGUACCGAGGCC